RNAcentral lists this ribosomal RNA (642 nucleotides) under uncultured Methanosaeta sp. RNAcentral's name for it is "bacterial SSU rRNA". It matches the Rfam family "Archaeal small subunit ribosomal RNA", at positions 339 to 981 of the family's 1478-position model. The record is from RNAcentral. Lineage: Archaea; Methanobacteriati; Methanobacteriota; Methanomicrobia; Methanotrichales; Methanotrichaceae.
GCGCGAAAACUUUACAAUGCGGGCAACCGCGAUAAGGGGACCUCGAGUGCUGGGUUACAAACCUGGCUGUUGGGCUGCCUAAAAAGCAGUCUAUAGCAAGGGCCGGGCAAGACCGGUGCCAGCCGCCGCGGUAACACCGGCGGCUCGAGUGGUAACCGCUAUUAUUGGGUCUAAAGGGUCUGUAGCCGGCCGACUAAGUCUCUUGGGAAAUCUGGCAUCUCAAGUGUCAGGCUGCCAGGGGAUACUGGUCGGCUUGGGACCGGGAGAGGUGAGAGGUACCUCGGGGGUAGGGGUGAAAUCUUGUAAUCCUCGAGGGACCACCAGUGGCGAAGGCGCCUCACCAGAACGGAUCCGACGGCAAGGGACGAAAGCUAGGGGCACGAACCGGAUUAGAUACCCGGGUAGUCCUAGCCGUAAACGAUACUCGCUAGGUGUCGGCCACGGUGCGACCGUGGUCGGUGCCGUAGGGAAGCCGUGAAGCGAGCCACCUGGGAAGUACGGCCGCAAGGCUGAAACUUAAAGGAAUUGGCGGGGGAGCACCACAACGGGUGGGGCCUGCGGUUUAAUUGGAUUCAACGCCGGAAAGCUUACCGGGGGCGACAGCAAUAUGAAGGUCAGGCUGAAGACCUUACCGGAUUCGCU